Non-coding RNA from Paramuricea clavata, 89 nucleotides. The record is from the annotation of a GenBank genome assembly. NCBI's taxonomy places the organism in Eukaryota, Metazoa, Cnidaria, Anthozoa, Malacalcyonacea, Plexauridae.
AACCUCGAGGCUCAGUUGGUCGAGCAUUGGGCUAUUGGACUAGUAAACCAAAGGUCGCGCCGUUGCGGGUUCGAUUCCCAUCGCGGUCA